RNAcentral lists this ribosomal RNA (20 nucleotides) under Bifidobacterium adolescentis. RNAcentral describes it as "partial 23S intergenic spacer region". Lineage: Bacteria; Bacillati; Actinomycetota; Actinomycetes; Bifidobacteriales; Bifidobacteriaceae. RNAcentral also lists the same sequence under 1 other name. The record is from RNAcentral.
GGUGGAUGCCUUGGCAGACA